Molecule: ribosomal RNA, 355 nt
Filed under: uncultured bacterium
Lineage: Bacteria
Description: partial 16S ribosomal RNA
Rfam family: Bacterial small subunit ribosomal RNA
Source: RNAcentral
CCUACGGGGGGCAGCAGUGAGGAAUAUUGGUCAAUGGGCGCGAGCCUGAACCAGCCAAGUAGCGUGAAGGAUGACUGCCCUACGGGUUGUAAACUUCUUUUAUAAAGGAAUAAAGUGAGGCACGUGUGCCUUUUUGUAUGUACUUUAUGAAUAAGGAUCGGCUAACUCCGUGCCAGCAGCCGCGGUAAUACGGAGGAUCCGAGCGUUAACCGGAUUUAUGGGGUUUAAGGGGGGCGUAGAUGGGUUGUUAAGUCAGUUGUGAAGGUUUGCGGCUCAACCGUAAAAUUGCAAUGGAUACUGGCAGUCUUGAGUACAGAUGAGGGAGGCGAAAUUCGGGGGGUAGCGGUGAAAUGCU